RNAcentral lists this ribosomal RNA (846 nucleotides) under Hypogymnia mollis. RNAcentral describes it as "eukaryotic LSU rRNA". It matches the Rfam family "Eukaryotic large subunit ribosomal RNA", at positions 71 to 927 of the family's 3401-position model. The record is from RNAcentral. Lineage: Eukaryota; Fungi; Ascomycota; Lecanoromycetes; Lecanorales; Parmeliaceae.
GGGAUUUCCCUCAGUAACGGCGAGUGAAGCGGCAACAGCUCCAAAUUUUGAAAUCUGGCUCUUCCGGGGGUCCCGAGUUGUAAUUUGUAGAGAGUGUUUCGGGUGAGAUCGCGGUCUAAGUCCAUUGGAACAUGGCGUCAUAGAGGGUGAGAAUCCCGUAUGCGACUGUGGAUCGAGCCCAUGUGAAGCCUCUUCGACGAGUCGAGUUGUUUGGGAAUGCAGCUCAAAAUGGGUGGUAAACUUCAUCUAAAGCUAAAUACUGGCUGGAGACCGAUAGCGCACAAGUAGAGUGAUCGAAAGAUGAAAAGCACUUUGGAAAGAGAGUCAAACAGUACGUGAAAUUGUUGAAAGGGAAGCGCUUGCAACCAGACCUGUCCGUAGGUGAUCAGCCGCUGUUCUCAGUGGUGCACUCGCUCUGCGAUCAGGCCAGCAUCGGUUCGGGCGGUCGGAUAAAGGCCUUGGGAAUGUAGCUUCUUUCGGGGAGCCUUAUAGCCCUCGGUGCAAUGCGGCCAGCCGGGACCGAGGACCGCGCUUCGGCUAGGAUGCUGGCGUAAUGGUUGUAAGCGACCCGUCUUGAAACACGGACCAAGGAGUCUAACAUCUAUGCGAGUGUUUGGGUGUUAAACCCAUGCGCGGAAUGAAAGUGAACGGAGGUGAGAACCCUUAAGGGCGCAUCAUCGACCGAUCCAGAUGUCUUCGGAUGGAUUUGAGUAUGAGCAUAGCUGUUGGGACCCGAAAGAUGGUGAAUCUAUGCCUGAAUAGGGUGAAGCCAGAGGAAACUCUGGUGGAGGCUCGCAGCGGUUCUGACGUGCAAAUCGAUCGUCAAAUUUUGGGUAUAGGGGCGCA